This 554-nucleotide ribosomal RNA is filed under the name uncultured bacterium. Its description in RNAcentral is "partial 16S ribosomal RNA". It matches the Rfam family "Bacterial small subunit ribosomal RNA", at positions 355 to 900 of the family's 1533-position model. The record is from RNAcentral.
UAGGGAAUCUUCCACAAUGGACGAAAGUCUGAUGGAGCAACGCCGCGUGAGUGAUGAAGGGUUUCGGCUCGUAAAACUCUGUUGUUGGAGAAGAACGGGUGUCAGAGUAACUGUUGACAUCGUGACGGUAUCCAACCAGAAAGCCACGGCUAACUACGUGCCAGCAGCCGCGGUAAUACGUAGGUGGCAAGCGUUGUCCGGAUUUAUUGGGCGUAAAGCGAGCGCAGGCGGUUUUUUAGGUCUGAUGUGAAAGCCUUCGGCUUAACCGGAGAAGUGCAUCGGAAACCGGGAGACUUGAGUGCAGAAGAGGACAGUGGAACUCCAUGUGUAGCGGUGAAAUGCGUAGAUAUAUGGAAGAACACCAGUGGCGAAGGCGGCUGUCUGGUCUGCAACUGACGCUGAGGCUCGAAAGCAUGGGUAGCGAACAGGAUUAGAUACCCUGGUAGUCCAUGCCGUAAACGAUGAGUGCUAAGUGUUGGAGGGUUUCCGCCCUUCAGUGCUGCAGCUAACGCAUUAAGCACUCCGCCUGGGGGGUACGACCGCAAGGUUGAAAC